CGGCAGGCUUAACACAUGCAAGUCGAACGGUAGCACAGGGGAGCUUGCUCCCUGGGUGACGAGUGGCGGACGGGUGAGUAAUGCUUGGGAAUUUGGCUURUGGAGGGGGAUAACUACGGGAAACUGUAGCUAAUACCGCGUAAUGUCUACGGACUAAAGGGUGGGACUAUUUGGCCACCUGCCAUGAGAUGAGCCCAAGUGGGAUUAGGUAGUUGGUGGGGUAAAGGCCUACCAAGCCGACGAUCUCUAGCUGGUCUGAGAGGAUGACCAGCCACACUGGAACUGAGACACGGUCCAGACUCCUACGGGAGGCAGCAGUGGGGAAUAUUGCACAAUGGGGGGAACCCUGAUGCAGCCAUGCCGCGUGAAUGAAGAAGGCCUUCGGGUUGUAAAGUUCUUUCGGUGAUGAGGAAGGCAGGUAUUUUAAUAGAAUACUUGAUUGACGUUAAUCACAGAAGAAGCACCGGCUAACUCCGUGCCA
RNAcentral lists this ribosomal RNA (481 nucleotides) under Pasteurella bettyae. RNAcentral's name for it is "bacterial SSU rRNA". It matches the Rfam family "Bacterial small subunit ribosomal RNA", at positions 40 to 510 of the family's 1533-position model. Lineage: Bacteria; Pseudomonadati; Pseudomonadota; Gammaproteobacteria; Pasteurellales; Pasteurellaceae. The record is from RNAcentral.